Molecule: ribosomal RNA, 468 nt
Filed under: uncultured bacterium
Lineage: Bacteria
Description: partial 16S ribosomal RNA
Rfam family: Bacterial small subunit ribosomal RNA
Source: RNAcentral
GACGAACGCUGGCGGCGUGCUUAACACAUGCAAGUCGAACGGAAAGGCCCUGCUCUUGUGGGGUGCUCGAGUGGCGAACGGGUGAGUAACACGUGAGUAACCUGCCCUUGACUUUGGGAUAACUUCAGGAAACUGGGGCUAAUAUCGGAUAGGAGCUCCUGCUGCAUGGUGGGGGUUGGAAAGAUUCGGCGGUUGGGGAUGGACUCGCGGCUUAUCAGCUUGUUGGUGGGGUAGUGGCUUACCAAGGCUUUGACGGGUAGCCGGCCUGGGAGGGUGACCGGCCACAUUGGUACUGAGAUACGGCGCAGACUCCUACGGGAGGCAGCAGUGGGGAAUAUUGCACAAUAGGCGGAAGCCUGAUGCAGCAACGCCGCGUGCGGGAUGACGGCCUUCGGGUUGUAAACCGCUUUCGCCUGUGACGAAGCGUGAGUGACGGUAAUGGGUAAAGAAGCACCGGCUAACUACGUG